RNAcentral lists this long non-coding RNA (1129 nucleotides) under Nicotiana benthamiana. RNAcentral describes it as "long non-coding RNA (NBEN_LNC031716)". The record is from RNAcentral. Lineage: Eukaryota; Viridiplantae; Streptophyta; Magnoliopsida; Solanales; Solanaceae.
AUCCUCUGUAAUAUUGUGUUUCGUUUUCCAUGAAAGAUUCCUUUAACUUUAUAAUCCCAUCUAGCUGGAGUUAUCUUUUGCUUGAGUUAAAAUAGGAAGAACUAUUUGAAGCAUAAACUAUGCACAGUUGCACCAGAUAUCAAUGUCAGAUUAUUUCCUUUUCCAAAAUCUCUCACAGAAAUCACUCUUUCAUUCACUUUUCUCCUUGGUUUUAUGAGAGAGUAAAGUUGAAAUGAGCAGCCUAAGCUCCCGCUAUGUGCGACCAUUUUCUAAAUUCAUAAGGACAUACAGAUCCCGCUAUGUGCGACCAUGUUCUAACUUCAUAAAGACAUACAAAGAAAAUAGAAAUACAAAGAACCAAACUCAACAGAAUUGUUGUCAUCCGUGGUGAAUAAGCAGUUUGAAAGUUAUCUUCUCUUCUUCAAUAAACAAAUUUCUAUUAUUUUUCUCUUCUGCGAUCCUCUUAAUAAUAGGAUAACAAAUAUAUCCCCAUUAUAUCAUCAUUACCAAAAAAUUAGUACAAAUAAAUUAUAAGAAGAAACAAAACUCACCUGAAGUGAGAACUACAAUUGAAGGUUAUAACAGACAAAUUGUAUAAAGAGGAGAGAUUUGAAAUUACACCUGAAACUGCACCAAAUAAACAUCGAAAUCCCUAAUUUACGAUGCUCGUCUUUCUCCAAGUCCCAUUUUUUUCGCAAACAAAUAUCAAAAUUCGUAAACUACCAAAGAAGGCAAAAAAGAACUCAAAUUUGCAAGUAAUCAGGAUUUGCUAAGAGAGUACUGAAGAAACCAAAUAUAUAUGAAAAAAAUAAAAUUAAAAUAUAUUAUACUGGCGAUUAUGUCGGAAUCUGAUAUCUUCUUGCCAAGAGGUUUCAGAUUCAUCUGUGAACUUCAAUUGUGUGGUAGAUCUAUGAAAUAAAAGUUCUUAAAAUUCCAAUCUAAAAAAUUAGGUUAAAAUCCCAAAAGUUUUGAUGAAUUCAAAGUGAAAGAAGGUACCUACAUGUAACACUUCAUGGAUAAUAACAAAUGGAGCAGCCAAGGAGGAAGAGAAGAAUAGAGAGUCGCGAAGAAUCAAGAGGAGCAAAAACGAAGCAGAAAAGCUAAUAUGUCUGUGUCAGUGUGAAAACAC